GAAAGCCCUAUAAUGGGAAACUACCAUGUUAGGUUUGGAGAGAGAUGGAAUCAGUUAUAUAAUAGGGGAAACAGAUGCAAGCUUUUUGUUUCAAUAGCUGGCCAAAUGAAUACAGGAUCAUCGGUCUACUCUAC
Non-coding RNA from Capsicum annuum, 134 nucleotides. NCBI's taxonomy places the organism in Eukaryota, Viridiplantae, Streptophyta, Magnoliopsida, Solanales, Solanaceae. The record is from Rfam.